Molecule: ribosomal RNA, 499 nt
Filed under: uncultured bacterium
Lineage: Bacteria
Description: bacterial SSU rRNA
Rfam family: Bacterial small subunit ribosomal RNA
Source: RNAcentral
CAUGGCUCAGGAUGAACGCUGGCGGCGUGCUAACACAUGCAAGUCGAACGAAGCAUUACUUACGAUCCCUUCGGGGUGACGAGUUAUGACUGAGUGGCGGACGGGUGAGUAACGCGUGGGUAACCUGCCUCAUACAGGGGGAUAACAGUUGGAAACGACUGCUAAUACCGCAUAAGCGCACGGUACCGCAUGGUACAGUGUGAAAAACUCCGGUGGUAUGAGAUGGACCCGCGUCUGAUUAGCUAGUUGGUGAGGUAACGGCCCACCAAGGCGACGAUCAGUAGCCGACCUGAGAGGGUGACCGGCCACAUUGGGACUGAGACACGGCCCAAACUCCUACGGGAGGCAGCAGUGGGGAAUAUUGCACAAUGGGCGAAAGCCUGAUGCAAGCGACGCCGCGUGAGUGAGGAAGUAUUUCGGUAUGUAAAGCUCUAUCAGCAGGGAAGAAAAUGACGGUACCUGAGUAAGAAGCUCCGGCUAAAUACGUGCCAGCCGCCGC